CGGACGGGUGAGUAACGCGUGAGGGAAGAAAGCCUACUGGGUUGUAAACCUCUUUUUUCAGGGAGGAAAAAAAUGACGUGUACCUGAAGAAUAAGCAUCGGCUAACUCCGUGCCAGCAGCCGCGGUAAGACGGAGGAUGCAAGUGUUAUCCGGAAUUACUGGGCGUAAAGCGUCUGUAGGUGGUUUAAUAAGUCAACUGUUAAAUCUUGAGGCUUAACUUCAAAGCAGCAGUCGAAACUAUUAGACUAGAGUAUAGUAGGGGUAAAGGGAAUUUCCAGUGGAGCGGUGAAAUGCGUAGAUAUUGGAAAGAACACCGAUGGCGAAAGCACUUUACUGGGCUAUUACUAACACUCGGAGACGAAAGCUAGGGUAGCAAAUGGGAUUAGAUACCCCAGUAGUC
This 400-nucleotide ribosomal RNA is filed under the name uncultured phototrophic eukaryote. Its description in RNAcentral is "bacterial SSU rRNA". It matches the Rfam family "Bacterial small subunit ribosomal RNA", at positions 383 to 795 of the family's 1533-position model. The record is from RNAcentral.